GCGAGGAUGGCGGAAUUGGCAGACGCGCUAGACUUAGGAUCUAGUGUCUUCGACGUGAGGGUUCAACUCCCUCUCUUCGCACCA
This 84-nucleotide transfer RNA is filed under the name Fusobacteriota bacterium. RNAcentral's name for it is "Fusobacteria bacterium (anaerobic digester metagenome) tRNA-Leu". It matches the Rfam family "tRNA". From Rfam's summary of the family: Transfer RNA (tRNA) molecules are approximately 80 nucleotides in length. Their secondary structure includes four short double-helical elements and three loops (D, anti-codon, and T loops). Lineage: Bacteria; Fusobacteriati; Fusobacteriota. The record is from RNAcentral.